This 1422-nucleotide long non-coding RNA is filed under the name Nicotiana tabacum (common tobacco). RNAcentral's name for it is "long non-coding RNA (NTAB_LNC014768)". The record is from RNAcentral. Lineage: Eukaryota; Viridiplantae; Streptophyta; Magnoliopsida; Solanales; Solanaceae.
ACGCCAACUCUCGCUGAGCAAGUAUCCUAAGAUGGGGGACCGUCAACCUGUCUACCUGUACCUGCGAGCAUAAAACGUAGGUCCCCAGGUAAUAGGGGCAUCAGUAAGAAUAAUAUACCGAGUAUGUAAGGCAUAAAAAUUAGUAUAUAAUAGACAUGAAAGAAACAUGGAGUAAAGGACUCAUCCUGUAAGUCUGCAUAGAUCUGUGAAUCAUGAAACAUUUAUAAGUCAUGCAUAUGCGUAUAAAUGUCAUAUCAUGCAUAGGUAUAUGCGUACAUAACAUCAUCAAUCCUCUGAGGGCAUCCCAUCAUAUCAUCUCAGCCUCUGUGGGCGAAAUCAUAAAUGUAUACCAGUUGAUCAGGUGGUGGUGCAUAUAUAACGCCAUAACCUUUCCCCAUACCCUAUAUAUAUAUACUAUACGCGUAUAUAACGUGAUCUGGUCAUGGGUCAGUAUACAUAUAUAAAUGAAUGCAAUGUAUAAUGAAGUAGGUCAAUAAGAUCUCUCUGAAUGUCAUGAGACCCAUGAAAAGACGAUAUGAUAGUAGUACAUAUGGGGAAUCAAGAACAUAGGCAACCCUAGUACUUCUAGGAAUAGAAUUAUUUGUGAAAGUUGCGUACUUGCUCAUUUCUUGCAUCAUAUGGAUCAUGCCAAAAAGGAAAGACGGGAUAGCCUUAACAUACCUUAUCACAAUAUUUCCAAUCAACAAGUUGAACUCGCCUCUUCGUACCUUAAUCUACAAUAACAAUAAUAAUACUAUCAUUAAGUUACGAAAGGUAAAACUAUCGCACAACGAACGACAAGCUUAUUUUGUAUUAAAACGGGCAGCAUCUCCCCUAUAAUUCUUACUUCCUUCAAAUUCAAUAUAACACCAAACACAACAAUAUCAACAUGUAUACAUUAUUUUCCAACCUUAUAUACACCACAAAAUAUUACAAAAUAUCCCAACACACCCCAAUCGCUUCAUACACAAAAUAACUACCGUAGUAGUGUCAAGCGGCCCGAAAAUGUUACGACGAACAACCAUCAUAUCACCCUGCAUUUAUAUGGUGUUUCUACACAACAUUAAUCCUCCAAAAUUCCACAAAACAUCAGUAAAAUAUGCAGCCCAACAGCAACACAAAACAAUCAACAAAAUAGUCCGCUACAAGUGAAUAACUCGAACUCACGGCUUCCGAUCACCGUCCCGUGAGUUCUAACUAUUAGGAAACGAAUUUAUCAACCUUCCUUGAUAUUUAAACACUUAAAUACAGAAAUUACACGUUUUCCUAACUAUGAAGUACCUUCCAAAAGUCAAACUACAAAGAAAAAGAGAGGCGAUAUAGCGAUACUUACGUCGUAGGGAUCAUUUUAAUGUUAUCGUAUCUUGAUUCUGUGCCCGAGAUGAUAAUCUUGUUUGAAGCUCUUGCAGAGAGAUUAAGAGU